AGCUCCAAUAGCGUAUAUUUUAGUUGUUGCAGUUAAAAAGCUCGUAGUUGAAUUUCUGGUGGGAGAAUGCGGUGUGACUCUUUGAGUUAUUACUUGCACUCUCUGACCAUCCUUGAGUGGAACCAUUUUGGCAUUAGGUUGUUGAGAUGGCGAUGCUCAUCGUUUACUGUGAAAAAAUUAGAGUGUUCAAAGCAGACUUAUGUCGUUGAAUACAUUAGCAUGGAAUAAUGAGAUAGGACAGCAGUGCUAUUUUGUUGGUUUGCGCGCCGUUGUAAUGAUGAAUAGGGACAGUUGGGGGUAUUCGUAUUCACUUGUAAGAGGUGAAAUUCUUAGAUUAAGGGAAGACGAACUACUGCGAAAGCAUUUACCAAGGAUGUUUUCA
RNAcentral lists this ribosomal RNA (382 nucleotides) under uncultured marine Chaetocerotaceae. Its description in RNAcentral is "SSU rRNA". It matches the Rfam family "Eukaryotic small subunit ribosomal RNA", at positions 587 to 972 of the family's 1831-position model. The record is from RNAcentral. Lineage: Eukaryota; Bacillariophyta; Thalassiosirophyceae; Chaetocerotales; Chaetocerotaceae.